Molecule: ribosomal RNA, 494 nt
Filed under: uncultured bacterium
Lineage: Bacteria
Description: bacterial SSU rRNA
Rfam family: Bacterial small subunit ribosomal RNA
Source: RNAcentral
AAAGGAAUAGACGGGGGCCCGCACAAGCGGAGGAACAUGUGGUUUAAUUCGAUGAUACGCGAGGAACCUUACCCGGGCUCGAACGGCUGUUGAAUAUGGUGGAAACAUCAUAGUCUGCAAAGACAACAGUCGAGGUGCUGCAUGGUUGUCGUCAGCUCGUGCCGUGAGGUGUCGGCUUAAGUGCCAUAACGAGCGCAACCCUUGUUGAUAGUUGCCAGCGGGUAAAGCCGGGGACUCUAUUGAGACUGCCACCGUAAGGUGUGAGGAAGGGGGGGAUGACGUCAAAUCAGCACGGCCCUUACGUCCGGGGCGACACACGUGUUACAAUGGUAGGUACAGAGGGCAGCUAUUAUGUGAAUAAAUGCGAAUCUCAAAAGCCUAUCACAGUUCGGAUUGGAGUCUGCAACUCGACUCCAUGAAGCUGGAUUCGCUAGUAAUCGCGCAUCAGCCAUGGCGCGGUGAAUACGUUCCCGGGCCUUGUACACACCGCCCGU